CAACAAGCAUCCAAAAAAACUAUGAUAACAAAAACUUAAUCGUCACAACUUUCAACAAUGGAUCUCUUGGUUCUGGCAUMGAUGAAGAACGCAGCGAAAUGCGAUAAGUAGUGUGAAUUGCAGAAUUCAGUGAAUCAUCGAAUCUUUGAACGCACAUUGCGCCCCUCGGUAUUCCGUGGGGCAUGCCUGUUCGAGCGUCAUUUACACCCUCAAGCUCUGCUUGGUGUUGGGCGUCUGUCCCCCGCCGAAAGGCGCGGACUCGCCCCAAAGGCAUUGGCAGCGGUCCCUGCCGGACUUCCCCAACAGCGCAGCACUGUUCGCGCGUCUGGGGAUCCGCGCGGGUCCAGCGUCCACGAAAAGCCCGAUUGCAUUGCAA
This 376-nucleotide ribosomal RNA is filed under the name fungal sp. ARIZ L167. RNAcentral's name for it is "eukaryotic LSU rRNA". The stretch from base 47 to 200 matches the Rfam family "5.8S ribosomal RNA". The record is from RNAcentral. Lineage: Eukaryota; Fungi.